RNAcentral lists this long non-coding RNA (292 nucleotides) under Pan troglodytes (chimpanzee). RNAcentral's name for it is "long non-coding RNA NONPTRT002767". The record is from RNAcentral. Lineage: Eukaryota; Metazoa; Chordata; Mammalia; Primates; Hominidae.
GUUCAAGACCUACGCCGUCCUGCCGGGGGACCAUGUGUGGAUGGACCUGAGAUCGGGGCAGGAGUUCGACGUGCCCAUCGGGGCGGUGGUGAAGCUCUGCGACUCUGGGCAGGUCCAGGUGGUGGAUGAUGAAGACAAUGAACACUGGAUCUCUCCGCAGAACGCAACGCACAUCAAGCCUAUGCACCCCACGUCGGUCCACGGCGUGGAGGACAUGAUCCGCCUGGGGGACCUCAACGAGGCGGGCAUCUUGCGCAACCUGCUUAUCCGCUACCGGGACCACCUCAUCUAC